AGAGUUGAUCAUGGCUCAGGAUGAACGCAGCGAUAGGCCUAACACAUGCAAGCGAGGGCAGCACAUGAGUAGCAAUACGAUGGUGGCGACCGGCGCACGGGUGAGUAACACGUAUGCAACCUACCUUAACAGGGGAAUAACCGUUGAAAACGGACUAAUACUCCAUAACACAGGGGUCCCGCAUGGGAAUAUUUGUUAAAGAUUUAAUCGGUUGAAGAUGGGCAUGCGUUCCAUUAGCUUGUGGUGAGGUAACGGCUCACCAAGGCCACGAUGGAUAGGGGAACUGAGAGGUUUAUCCCCCACACUGGAACUGAGACACGGUCCAGACUCCUACGGGAGGCAGCAGUGAGGAAUAUUGGUCAAUGGAGGCAACUCUGAACCAGCCAAGUCGCGUUGAAGGAUGAAGGUCUUAUGGAUUGUAAACUUCUUUUUGCAAGGGAAUAAAGUGGGGGACGUGUCCCUUACCUUUCCCGUCGUAGUGUACCCUUUGCGAAUAAGGAUCGGCUAACUCCGUGCCAGCCGCCGC
Molecule: ribosomal RNA, 526 nt
Filed under: uncultured bacterium
Lineage: Bacteria
Description: bacterial SSU rRNA
Rfam family: Bacterial small subunit ribosomal RNA
Source: RNAcentral